This 413-nucleotide ribosomal RNA is filed under the name uncultured prokaryote. RNAcentral describes it as "bacterial SSU rRNA". It matches the Rfam family "Bacterial small subunit ribosomal RNA", at positions 505 to 918 of the family's 1533-position model. The record is from RNAcentral.
GUGUCAGCCGCCGCGGUAAUACGUAGGGGGCGAGCGUUGCUCGGAAUUACUGGGCGUAAAGGGUGUGUAGGUGGCUGAAUAAGUCAAAGAUGAAAUCCCGAGGCUCAACUUCGGAAUUGUCUUUGAUACUGUUCAGCUUGAGGUUAGUUGAGGAGAGCGGAAUUCCCGGUGGAGCGGUGAAAUGCGUAGAUAUCGGGAGGAACACCUGAGGCGUAGGCGGUUCUCUACACUAAUCCUGACACUGAGACACGAAAGCUAGGGGAGCAAACGGGAUUAGAUACCCCGGUAGUCCUAGCCGUAAACGAUGGACGCUAGAUGUUCCUGCGUUUAUGCGGGAGUGUCGUAGCUAACGCGUUAAGCGUCCCGCCUGGGGAGUACGGUCGCAAGAUUGAAACUCAAAGGAAUUGACGGGG